GCAGCCGCGGUAAUACGGAGGGUGCGAGCGUUAAUCGGAAUUACUGGGCGUAAAGGGUGCGUAGGUGGUUGAAUAAGUUAUCUGUGAAAUCCCUGGGCUCAACCUGGGAAGGUCAGAUAAGACUGUUUGACUCGAGUAUGGGAGAGGGUAGUGGAAUUUCCGGUGUAGCGGUGAAAUGCGUAGAGAUCGGAAGGAACACCAGUGGCGAAGGCGGCUACCUGGCCUGAUACUGACACUGAAGCACGAAAGCGUGGGGAGCAAACAGGAUUAGAUACCCUGGUAGUCCACGCCGUAAACGAUGUCAACUAGCUGUUGGAA
This 318-nucleotide ribosomal RNA is filed under the name uncultured Legionella sp. Its description in RNAcentral is "bacterial SSU rRNA". It matches the Rfam family "Bacterial small subunit ribosomal RNA", at positions 511 to 828 of the family's 1533-position model. Lineage: Bacteria; Pseudomonadati; Pseudomonadota; Gammaproteobacteria; Legionellales; Legionellaceae. The record is from RNAcentral.